CCGCACAGCCGCACUCGCGCCGUCCCCUUCCUCUUCCUCCCGCCUCACCUCUCUCUCCUUCCAAACCCUAGGCCCGAGCCCGCCGCCGCUGCUCUGCCCGAGCCCGCCGCCGCUGCUUCCUCCUUCCCCGCUGGCGCCCGGCCUCCUCCCCUCACGUCCUCCUCCUUCUACCCCCUCCCGCCCCGGCCCCGGCUCCCGCGGGAGGGAAGCAGGAAUGGCGAGGCGAGGCAAAGGCGGCGUAGGGGACACGGCGUGGCGCAGGUGGGUCGGCACGGCCGCGGCUUCUCUUCUUAUCUCCCGGGAGUGGGCCACAGCCAUGGAGAGCGGCCAGAGGAGCAAGGACGGCCAACCCCUGCCUCCUCUCCAGCACGUGUUGGGGAUUGCGGGCAACGAUUGAAUCUGCAGAUUGGUUCGCUCAAGGAUGACGAGGAGAUGGCCGACUCCAGGGAGCAGCAGAAGGAGGAGGGGCACGCACGCACGAUGGUGUUCAUGGUGUUCCGCCCAACAAAUCACCAAAAUAAAUUAUAUACAUAUGCAGCACAUUUUUAGUAGCGACAGAUUAUUCCUAGGAUCAUGUAAAAAAAAUUAUUGCUAGGGUCAGCGGUGGGUUCGGCAGCCGCGGUCGGUGCUGCCGUCCUGUCCAGUGAGCUCCUUUGACCAGCGCCAUGAGAGCAACUGCGCCGGUGCCUCUCGUGGACAGCGCGUGCAUCAGCAACCUUCUAAAGUCCUUCACAAAUCGCAUCGCAUCGCCGGCCCGAGUGACGGCCAUCCGGCUGUUCCCCUUUGCGGUGUGCUACGCCGUGUCCGCUGAAGCUGCAAUAUCUUCGGACGCCCGUGUUGUUGAGAGGAGGUUCCUCAUCCAGUAGCAGCAUCGGCGACUCUUAUCCAUAUACCAAACAGAGUAGUAUCUAUGCACAUUUUCCCCUUUACCCUACGUUUCUACGAACAGGUGCAUAUCCCCCCAUUGCCUUACCAUCUCCUCUAUUUGAUUCCAGUCGAAAAUUGAUUCAUGGUCGCUCACACAUGAUAGUGCUAGAUGGAAUUCCCUAUGGAUUGCCAAUGCAGAUUACUAUAUGAUCCAUUGUAAUUUUAGUGGUCGUUGGUUUCCAUACAAAAUUGGUUUAUUGCACGCAAGAUUUCAGACUUAAGCACAAGUCAAUGAAUCAUGUACAGCCUCAUGUGGCUGCUUCUACUUCGGGUAAUUUGCCCAAGCAAGGUUAAUCUAUAAAGCUAUGCUUUUCCUCAAAAAAAGAAGAAGAAUUGGAUUGUCAGGAUUACACCAAACAGUUACUCUUGAUUAAUAGAGAUAAUGACUUUACUAAGACAAAUGUACGUGUUCACAUUUAUUAAAAACAAUCUUAAACAACGAUGUUCAUAUUAAGUAGAAAUCUGGUGCUCGUGUCUAUCGUACUACAUCCUAAAUGAUUGGAUGUCCGCUAAUCAACGACUUCAAGUCCUUGAUACACCAGACUUCUGAAUGUGUUUUUUUCAGCGAUUCUUUAUCAACACAACUACUCCUUGUCCUAGGCCUUGAAUCAUUGUGCUCCUGGGUACCUUACUUUUCCAAUUCAUCCUCAUGCUGAAUGUUUACUGGUUUGUUAUCAACACCAGUGCAUUUGCGAGUUAUGACACGAAAUGGCCGUAGAGUUAGCUCAUGCAUUAGUUAGUUACUUCACUAGCUGUGCAUGGUGGGCGUGGCGUGAGCUUAAGAUUAGUUGGUAGUGGAGAUACUCUUGUAAUGGCUAUCUGCUAUUGGCUUUCUUAACCAUCAUCCUACGCCUUCAUGUUUGUUAGGGACCUAUCUACUAUGAUACCAUAUACAUGCUUAUGGAAGGCACUCAACAGCAUAUUCUAGAAAAAAUAAAGGUUUAUUAUCCAGGUAUAUUUAUCUACUAUUGUACUUGACACCUGACAUUCAAAAGGAAAAUUUCAAUAUUAAUAGCUGAUAAAGAAACGCUCCACAGUUAGUCGAUACACAUGUACCAAUCUGGAGUUAGUAUACAUGCUUGAGAUAUGGUCCUAUUGUUAGUUUGGUUUGCUAUUGAGUACAUUUGGUUAUAAGUAGAAUUGCAAUAGUUUCGUUAUAGGAUCUAAGGGACAUUUAGAAGUUUGGCAAAAGACGUCAUCUACUCAUGAAUAAUCUCAUCAUCUGAAAAUGGAUUCAGAGUUAGGCCACUUACACAUCAUGGUAAACCUCCUAGUUCCCAUUUUGUCUGUAUUUUUAAAGGGGUGCUAAAAUCCUGGAUGGUCAUUGGAUAGUGGAUUAGCAUCAGUGCUUAACUAAGUCCCUGGAAAUUUGGAUAAGCAGUUUUUCUUUGAAGUGUAUAUGGUUCUAGACUUUCUUUUUGUGGUAAAGGAAGAAUCUUGGAUGAUCUUUGGACAGUGGAUUAGCGUUAGUGCUUAAAUAAGUCCCUAGAAAUCUGGAUGAACAAUUUUUUUUAAAUGUAUAUGGUUCUACUGGUAAUCAUUAAUCUGUAACCUUGUGCUUGCUUGUGACCAGUAAGGUUGUGACGGGUUGUCAUCCCAUGGUUUUUCUGCAGCGCCGUCACUGCCGUCCUUAACAUACAGAAGAAGUUCGUCCCAAGCUUCAAGACUCUAGGGUCAAUUCCAUAGAAGGUAAUUUCCUUUGAUAUUGGUAUUGUUGACAUUUGGUUUUUCCGGCUUCUGGUUGCUGUUAUACUUUGUUUAUUCAUGCUUUUGUUUGUAUUUAAAUUUGCCUAAAGAUAUGUUCAAGUUCAUACCUGCAGUUCAAUAGCCAUUGCCUGAAAUCUGCUUUCUACCUGUGCUUUUUAAGUAUAUAUGCCUAUAAAGUGUCCUCUAUUGCUUUCUUAAAUUCUGGAGUCUGCUAUGUAAUGAUGGCAUCGACAGAUUUUGUUGCAGGCAGUACUGAAAAGUAAAUAUAUUGAACAGAUCAAAUUGCAAGAUUAGUUAGCUUUCCUCCUGAUUACAUUUUCUCUUACAUUUUCAAUGCUUUGUCUACCAUGCUUUCUCAUGUCCCUGGUGCCUUUUUUGUUUGAUAUGAAGUAAAUUUGCACACUGGAUGGGGCGACCAGGUUGUGGCAACUUGGCGGCAUGGCUAAUGAAUAAAGAAAAUAGCAAUAACUGAUUGAUUUUAGAUCUCAUGUGCCUGCAAAUCUUCUGUUCUUUCCGUUUAUGUGCUGGAUCUGUUGUUGCAUUCGUCGAUCUGUUGUUGGUUCUUAAUUUAGUCUGGUAAAGAGUAAUUUGCACUUUGUUGGUCCAUUUGGGUUAUGGAUUUUUUUUAUUAUGAUGGCGAGACACACCUAUGGUGAGAUUCUAUUUCGAUGAUGAUGUGCACUCUUCACACCUCGCUCUGAAUUGGCACGAGAAGAUCGUUCUAGAUUGGAAUCCAUAUAACUUUAAGAAGGUCAAUGUCUGUUGUCUUUCUCUCUCUGACUGCCUCUCCUCCCAUUGACUUGGCAUGCUGGUCACCGCCGUGUCUCCUGCUGGCUUGCCCCUCGCCCUCGUCGGGAGGGUUGUGUGGGCCGUCCUACAUUUUAAUCCACAUAACUUUGAAAAGGUCGCCACCAUGCCGUCUCUCUCUCUCUCUCUGACCGCCCCUCCCGUUGCCUUGGUUUGCUGGUUGCUGUAGUGUCUCCCGCCGGUUCGUCCGUUGCCAUCGCUGGAAGGGUUGUGUAGUCCGCCGCUCAUGCCAGUACUCUGCAGUGACCAGUGAGGACCAUGGCAUCGAGACAGCCCAAAAGGAAACACCGCCGGCUAUAGCACCGGUUGAGGCCACCCUGUCUAUCAGCCCACAACAGGUUUGCAUGCUUUGCCCUUGUCUCCUACUUCUCUCGCCUUGCUGGUCCUUGUACUAUGCCAUGUCGCCGAACCAGUCGCCAUGGGAUGCUUAACGUCGUGUUGGAUGAUGCCACACAUGAUUUAGGGUGACGACCCUGCCGCAUAGGCCCAAUAAGCAGACAUUAAUUAUUGUAGUCGUGCAUCAUCCUUUUUCCUCGGUUCACACCACAAUAAAAAUAAGAAACAGUCUGUAUUGAUAUACUUUUUCCUUAGACAGGGCAACUUUAUUCUAAGAGGCUCCAAAAUCUGAAGAAAGAUGUGGCUAUGCAGAAUGCCAAGUGUCGGUGUCAAAAUCGGCGGAUCUCGGGUAGGGGGUCCCGAACUGUGCGUCUAGGCGGAUGGUAACAAGAGACGAGGGACACGAUGUUUUUAUCCAGGUUCGG
Long non-coding RNA from Triticum aestivum (bread wheat), 4202 nucleotides. RefSeq lists it as uncharacterized. NCBI's taxonomy places the organism in Eukaryota, Viridiplantae, Streptophyta, Magnoliopsida, Poales, Poaceae. The transcript has 4 exons. The record is from RefSeq and is a predicted model, not a curated record.